GUGGGGAAUCUUCCGCAAUGGACGAAAGUCUGACGGAGCAACGCCGCGUGAGUGAUGAAGGUCUUCGGAUUGUAAAGCUCUGUUAAUCGGGACGAAAGAGCCUAGUGUGAAUAAUGCUAGGAAGUGACGGUACCGGAAUAGAAAGCCACGGCUAACUACGUGCCAGCAGCCGCGGUAAUACGUAGGUGGCAAGCGUUGUCCGGAAUUAUUGGGCGUAAAGCGCGCGCAGGCGGAUCUGCCAGUCUGUCUUAAAAGUUCGGGGCUUAACCCCGUGAUGGUAUGGAAAAUACAGAUCUAGAGUAUCGGAGAGGAAAGGGGAAUUCCUAGUGUAGCGGUGAAAUGCGUAGAUAUUAGGAAGAACACCAGUGGCGAAGGCGACUUUCUGGACGAAAACUGACGCUGAGGCGCGAAAGCCAGGGGAGCGAACGGGAUUAGAAACCCGGGUAGUCC
This 450-nucleotide ribosomal RNA is filed under the name uncultured bacterium. Its description in RNAcentral is "partial 16S ribosomal RNA". It matches the Rfam family "Bacterial small subunit ribosomal RNA", at positions 354 to 796 of the family's 1533-position model. The record is from RNAcentral.